AUGGUUGUCGUCAGCUCGUGUCGUGAGAUGUUGGGUUAAGUCCCGCAACGAGCGCAACCCUCGCCUCUAGUUGCCAGCAUUCGGUUGGGCACUCUAGAGGGACUGCCGGCGACAAGUCGGAGGAAGGUGGGAUGACGUCAAAUCAUCAUGCCCCUUAUGACCUGGGCUACACACGUGCUACAAUGGGCGGUACAAAGGGCUGCGAACCCGCGAGGGGGAGCGAAUCCCAAAAAGCCGCUCUCAGUUCGGAUUGCAGGCUGCAACUCGCCUGCAUGAAGCCGGAAUCGCUAGUAAUCGCGGAUCAGCAUGCCGCGGUGAAUACGUUCCCGGGCCUU
Molecule: ribosomal RNA, 335 nt
Filed under: uncultured Geobacillus sp.
Lineage: Bacteria; Bacillati; Bacillota; Bacilli; Caryophanales; Anoxybacillaceae
Description: bacterial SSU rRNA
Rfam family: Bacterial small subunit ribosomal RNA
Source: RNAcentral